GACGAACGCUGGCGGCGUGCUUAACACAUGCAAGUCGAACGGUGACCCAGGGCUUGCCCUGGUGAUCAGUGGCGAACGGGUGAGUAACACGUGGGCAACCUGCCCCUGACUUCGGGAUAACUCCUCGAAAGAGGAGCUAAUACCGGAUACGACCACUUCGGACAUCCGAUGGUGGUGGAAAGUUUUUCGGUCAGGGAUGGGCCCGCGGCCUAUCAGCUAGUUGGUGGGGUAAUGGCCUACCAAGGCGACGACGGGUAGCCGGCCUGAGAGGGCGACCGGCCACACUGGGACUGAGACACGGCCCAGACUCCUACGGGAGGCAGCAGUGGGGAAUAUUGCGCAAUGGGCGAAAGCCUGACGCAGCGACGCCGCGUGAGGGAUGAAGGCCUCGGGUUGUAAACCGUCUUUCAGCAGGGACGAAGCGAAAGUGACGGUACCUGCAGAAGAAGCACCGGCUAACUACGUGCCAGCAGCCGCGGUAAU
RNAcentral lists this ribosomal RNA (483 nucleotides) under uncultured bacterium. RNAcentral describes it as "bacterial SSU rRNA". It matches the Rfam family "Bacterial small subunit ribosomal RNA", at positions 28 to 524 of the family's 1533-position model. The record is from RNAcentral.